Molecule: non-coding RNA, 30 nt
Filed under: Mus musculus (house mouse)
Lineage: Eukaryota; Metazoa; Chordata; Mammalia; Rodentia; Muridae
Source: RNAcentral
UGAAAAUUCGAUUAGACAAAGAUUUCUUAC